This is a long non-coding RNA of Stomoxys calcitrans (stable fly), 839 nucleotides long. RefSeq lists it as uncharacterized. The transcript is spliced from 4 exons. NCBI's taxonomy places the organism in Eukaryota, Metazoa, Arthropoda, Insecta, Diptera, Muscidae. The record is from RefSeq and is a predicted model, not a curated record.
UUCACACGUUAUUACAUUGAAAAUAAGAAUACACAAGCUCGCAAUUCUUUUUUAACCUGAAUUUCGGAUAUAUUCAAAUCGCCAAUAAUGAAAAUUGCUAUGGAAACUGAAAAUGUUGCCAGAACAAAAAAUUUCUUAUUUAUGUGUAUUCUUUCCUAUUUUUAUAAAGAUCUUGUCCAGAAGAUGAGGAUCGAUGAUAACUCAUUAAUUAUAUGAUCUCAAGCCGAAAAUAACACAAAAUAUAAUAUAAAUUUGUAGUGUGAAUUGAUGGAGUGAAAAUAGAAAAAUAUUUGAUGUGGAAGUAUAAAAUGCAUUGCGAAACUCAGCCGAAAAUGGAGAGCAUUGUAAAAAUUUAAUAAAUGUCCCAAUAUUGACUGACAGAAGCAUAACUUCCGACUACAUCUAAUCCUGUGGAUUAAUACUUCGAGAUAUUAUGCGGAAAAGCUAAGUUAUGUACCAAGCUUGUAUAUAUCUGUGCUCAGUGGUCUGUUUCCGCCUUAAAAUUCAUGCGUUCCUCAGUAAUUUUCACAUGCUUUUGGUUUGGGACAUGGUACUAUAAAGUGGUAUCGUCAUUAGCAAAACAACAAAAAUCCACCCCCAGCGAAACUACCAUGAGUCGCAAGUACCGUAAAUUAAAAUGGCAAAAUGGUAUUUGUAUUUGCAUCAUUAUAACACUGUUUUGUUGCCUAUGUGUGGAAUAUCGGACCAAAUAAAACAUCUUCUAAGAUUUUAGAAAAAAUCUCAGCUGUGUUAUCAAGCCUUUGACAUUUAGAUUUACUGCAAAAUCAAAAGAAAAAUAAAAAAGUGAACUCAGCUGUUCGCAUUACCUCAACUUAUAA